UCUCCGUUGGUGAACCAGCGGAGGGAUCAUUACCGAGUUUACAACUCCCAAACCCAAUGUGAACGUUACCAAACUGUUGCCUCGGCGGGGUCACGCCCCGGGUGCGUCGCAGCCCCGGAACCAGGCGCCCGCCGGAGGAACCAACCAAACUCUUUCUGUAGUCCCCUCGCGGACGUUAUUUCUUACAGCUCUGAGCAAAAAUUCAAAAUGAAUCAAAACUUUCAACAACGGAUCUCUUGGUUCUU
RNAcentral lists this unclassified non-coding RNA (245 nucleotides) under plant metagenome. Its description in RNAcentral is "partial contains small subunit ribosomal RNA, internal transcribed spacer 1, and 5.8S ribosomal RNA". The record is from RNAcentral.